RNAcentral lists this ribosomal RNA (429 nucleotides) under Actinomycetes bacterium. RNAcentral's name for it is "Actinobacteria bacterium partial 16S ribosomal RNA". It matches the Rfam family "Bacterial small subunit ribosomal RNA", at positions 355 to 776 of the family's 1533-position model. Lineage: Bacteria; Bacillati; Actinomycetota; Actinomycetes. The record is from RNAcentral.
UAGGGAAUCUUCCGCAAUGGGCGAAAGCUUGACGGAGCAACGCCGCGUGAGUGAUGAAGGUCUUCGGAUCGUAAAACUCUGUUAUUAGGGAAGAACAAAUGUGUAAGUAACUAUGCACGUCUUGACGGUACCUAAUCAGAAAGCCACGGCUAACUACGUGCCAGCAGCCGCGGUAAUACGUAGGUGGCAAGCGUUAUCCGGAAUUAUUGGGCGUAAAGAGCGCGUAGGCGGUUUUUUAAGUCUGAUGUGAAAGCCCACGGCUCAACCGUGGAGGGUCAUUGGAAACUGGAAAAAUUGAGUGCAGAAGAGGAAAGUGGAAUUCAAUGUGUAGCGGUGAAAUGCGCAGAGAUAUGGAGGAACACCAGUGGCGAAGGCGACUUUCUGGUCUGUAACUGACGCUGAUGUGCGAAAGCGGGGGGAUCAAACAGG